This 504-nucleotide non-coding RNA is filed under the name Pongo abelii (Sumatran orangutan). Lineage: Eukaryota; Metazoa; Chordata; Mammalia; Primates; Hominidae. The record is from RNAcentral.
ACAAUUAGUUGGAGCUUCUUUGGUCAACAGCAGAUGUGACUAAGAAAAUCACGCUGUUUCAUUUAGAGCAGUGGAUCACCAAGUGUGGUCCUCAGGCCACACAGCUCGGCAUUACCUAGGAACUAGGAAAUGCAAGUUCGUAAGCAACCCCACCCAGACCUACUGAAUUGGAAGUGCUGAGGAUAGGGUCCAGCAAUCUGUGGUUGAACAAGCUCUGCAGAGCUUUGCAGAACAGAUCACCAUAACAACCACCAUCCUGGGAGACAGCGAAAGAACAGAGAGAAACAUCCUUUUUAUUUGCCUGAAAAUCAAGGGCCAGCAGGGAAACGGGUCUUUUCAUCAAAGCUUGUUUUGGUAUCUCCCAAGUUGGAGGGUCCAUGUGUCAAGGGACGGCAGUGGAAGAAGUCAACACGUUUAACAGACUACACCCAAUAUUUGUGAUUUUUAGGGAUCAGGCAUCCAGGAGCAGAGCUGUGGGGCAGCAGAAUCCGUGAUGACAGAGAA